GGACUACUGGGGUAUCUAAUCCUGUUUGCUCCCCACGCUUUCGCGCCUCAGCGUCAGUAACGGGCCAGUGUGUCGCCUUCGCCACUGGUGUUCUUCCGAAUAUCUACGAAUUUCACCUCUACACUCGGAGUUCCACACACCUCUCCCGUACUCAAGAUGACCAGUAUCGAAGGCAGUUCCGAGGUUGAGCCCCGGGCUUUCACCCCCGACUUAGUCAUCCGCCUACGCGCCCUUUACGCCCAGUAAUUCCGAGCAACGCUAGCCCCCUUCGUAUUACCGCGGCUGCUGGCAC
RNAcentral lists this ribosomal RNA (292 nucleotides) under uncultured bacterium. RNAcentral's name for it is "partial 16S ribosomal RNA". The record is from RNAcentral.